AUUGAACGCUGGCGGCAUGCCUUACACAUGCAAGUCGAACGGCAGCACGGGUGCUUGCACCUGGUGGCGAGUGGCGAACGGGUGAGUAAUACAUCGGAACAUGUCCUGUAGUGGGGGAUAGCCCGGCGAAAGCCGGAUUAAUACCGCAUACGAUCCAUGGAUGAAAGCGGGGGACCUUCGGGCCUCGCGCUAUAGGGUUGGCCGAUGGCUGAUUAGCUAGUUGGUGGGGUAAAGGCCUACCAAGGCGACGAUCAGUAGCUGGUCUGAGAGGACGACCAGCCACACUGGGACUGAGACACGGCCCAGACUCCUACGGGAGGCAGCAGUGGGGAAUUUUGGACAAUGGGCGAAAGCCUGAUCCAGCAAUGCCGCGUGUGUGAAGAAGGCCUUCGGGUUGUAAAGCACUUUUGUCCGGAAAGAA
RNAcentral lists this ribosomal RNA (421 nucleotides) under Burkholderia cepacia. Its description in RNAcentral is "bacterial SSU rRNA". It matches the Rfam family "Bacterial small subunit ribosomal RNA", at positions 30 to 449 of the family's 1533-position model. Lineage: Bacteria; Pseudomonadati; Pseudomonadota; Betaproteobacteria; Burkholderiales; Burkholderiaceae. The record is from RNAcentral.